CGGCGGACGGGUGAGUAAUGUAUGGGGAUCUGCCUGACGGCGGGGGAUAACUACUGGAAACGGUAGCUAAUACCGCAUAAUGUCUACGGACCAAAGCGGGGGACCUCCGGGCCUCGCGCCAUCAGAUGAACCCAUAUGGGAUUAGCUAGUAGGUAAGGUAACGGCUUACCUAGGCGACGAUCCCUAGCUGGUCUGAGAGGAUGAUCAGCCACACUGGGACUGAGACACGGCCCAG
This 235-nucleotide ribosomal RNA is filed under the name uncultured bacterium. Its description in RNAcentral is "partial 16S ribosomal RNA". It matches the Rfam family "Bacterial small subunit ribosomal RNA", at positions 96 to 334 of the family's 1533-position model. The record is from RNAcentral.